UAUAGGAAUAUGUCUCAUCUGCUCGGUGU
Molecule: non-coding RNA, 29 nt
Filed under: Homo sapiens (human)
Lineage: Eukaryota; Metazoa; Chordata; Mammalia; Primates; Hominidae
Source: RNAcentral